RNAcentral lists this ribosomal RNA (253 nucleotides) under uncultured bacterium. RNAcentral's name for it is "partial 16S ribosomal RNA". It matches the Rfam family "Bacterial small subunit ribosomal RNA", at positions 524 to 776 of the family's 1533-position model. The record is from RNAcentral.
UGCGUAGGUGGCAAGCGUUGUCCGGAAUUAUUGGGCGUAAAGCGCGCGCAGGCGGUUGCUUAAGUCUGAUGUGAAAGCCCACGGCUCAACCGUGGAGUGUCAUUGGAAACUGAGAAACUUGAGUGUAGAAGAGGAAAGUGGAAUUCCACGUGUAGCGGUGAAAUGCGUAGAGAUGUGGAGGAACACCAGUGGCGAAGGCGGCUUUCUGGUCUGUAACUGACACUGAUGCGCGAAAGCGUGGGGAGCAAACAGG